RNAcentral lists this ribosomal RNA (456 nucleotides) under Staphylococcus aureus. RNAcentral's name for it is "bacterial SSU rRNA". It matches the Rfam family "Bacterial small subunit ribosomal RNA", at positions 220 to 668 of the family's 1533-position model. Lineage: Bacteria; Bacillati; Bacillota; Bacilli; Caryophanales; Staphylococcaceae. The record is from RNAcentral.
UAUAGAUGGAUCCGCGCUGCAUUAGCUAGUUGGUAAGGUAACGGCUUACCAAGGCAACGAUGCAUAGCCGACCUGAGAGGGUGAUCGGCCACACUGGAACUGAGACACGGUCCAGACUCCUACGGGAGGCAGCAGUAGGGAAUCUUCCGCAAUGGGCGAAAGCCUGACGGAGCAACGCCGCGUGAGUGAUGAAGGUCUUCGGAUCGUAAAACUCUGUUAUUAGGGAAGAACAUAUGUGUAAGUAACUGUGCACAUCUUGACGGUACCUAAUCAGAAAGCCACGGCUAACUACGUGCCAGCAGCCGCGGUAAUACGUAGGUGGCAAGCGUUAUCCGGAAUUAUUGGGCGUAAAGCGCGCGUAGGCGGUUUUUUAAGUCUGAUGUGAAAGCCCACGGCUCAACCGUGGAGGGUCAUUGGAAACUGGAAAACUUGAGUGCAGAAGAGGAAAGUGGAAUU